Molecule: unclassified non-coding RNA, 21 nt
Filed under: Mus musculus (house mouse)
Lineage: Eukaryota; Metazoa; Chordata; Mammalia; Rodentia; Muridae
Description: oocyte_clustered_small_RNA10137
Source: RNAcentral
AGGGCAACUGAGCACAGAGGG